AGAGUUUGAUCAUGGCUCAGAUUGAACGCUGGCGGAAUGCUUUACACAUGCAAGUCGAACGGCAGCAUAGGUGCUUGCACCUGAUGGCGAGUGGCGAACGGGUGAGUAAUACAUCGGAACGUGCCCAGUCGUGGGGGAUAACGUAGCGAAAGUUACGCUAAUACCGCAUACGAUCUACGGAUGAAAGCGGGGGACCGUAAGGCCUCGCGCGAUUGGAGCGGCCGAUGUUAGAUUAGGUAGUUGGUGGGGUAAAGGCUCACCAAGCCGACGAUCUAUAGCUGGUCUGAGAGGAUGAUCAGCCACACUGGGACUGAGACACGGCCCAGACUCCUACGGGAGGCAGCAGUGGGGAAUUUUGGACAAUGGGCGCAAGCCUGAUCCAGCCAUUCCGCGUGCAGGACGAAGGCCUUCGGGUUGUAAACUGCUUUUGUACAGAACGAAAAGCUCUGGGUUAAUACCCUGGGGUCAUGACGGUACUGUAAGAAUAAGCACCGGCUAACUACGUACCAGCAGCCGCGGUAAU
Molecule: ribosomal RNA, 523 nt
Filed under: uncultured bacterium
Lineage: Bacteria
Description: bacterial SSU rRNA
Rfam family: Bacterial small subunit ribosomal RNA
Source: RNAcentral